UCUUCGGCAAUGGACGAAAGUCUGACCGAGCAACGUCGCGUGAGUGAAGAAGGUUUUCGGAUCGUUAAACUCUGUUGCUAGAGAAGAAUGUUGAUUAGAGUGGAAAAUUAUUCAAGUGACGUUAUCUAAUCAGAAAGGGACGGCUAACUACGUGCCAGCAGCCGCGGUAAUACGUAGGUACCGAGCGUUGUCCGGAUUUAUUGGGCGUAAAGCGAGCGCAGGUGGUUUAAUAAGUCUGAUGUAAAAGGCAGUGGCUCAACCAUUGUGUGCAUUGGAAACUGUUAGACUUGAGUGCAGUAGAGGAGAGUGGAAUUCCAUGUGUAGCGGUGAAAUGCGUAGAUAUAUGGAGGAACACCGGUGGCGAAAGCGGCUCUCUGGACUGUCACUGACACUGAGGCUCGAAAGCGUGGGUAGCAAACAGG
Molecule: ribosomal RNA, 422 nt
Filed under: uncultured bacterium
Lineage: Bacteria
Description: bacterial SSU rRNA
Rfam family: Bacterial small subunit ribosomal RNA
Source: RNAcentral